AGCUCCAAUAGCGUAUAUUAAAGUUGUUGCAGUUAAAAGCUCGUAGUUGGAUUUGUGACGGGACUGAAUGGUCCACCGCGAGGUGCGCUACUGUUUGGUUCUGUUAUUCUCUCGGGGUUGUGUGGUGUACUUGAUUGUGCGCUGCGUAGCUGCGAGACCUUUACUUUGAAAAAUUAGAGUGUUCAAAGCAGGCGAUGGCUUGAAUACAUUAGCAUGGAAUAAUGGAAUAGGACUUUGGUUCUAUUUUGUUGGUUUCUAGGACCGAAGUAAUGAUUAAUAGGGACAGUUGGGGGCAUUAGUAUUUAAUUGUCAGAGGUGAAAUUCUUGGAUUUAUGAAAGACUAACUACUGCGAAAGCAUUUGCCAAGGAUGUUUUCA
This 377-nucleotide ribosomal RNA is filed under the name uncultured eukaryote. RNAcentral describes it as "SSU rRNA". It matches the Rfam family "Eukaryotic small subunit ribosomal RNA", at positions 587 to 972 of the family's 1831-position model. The record is from RNAcentral.